RNAcentral lists this ribosomal RNA (843 nucleotides) under uncultured bacterium. RNAcentral describes it as "bacterial SSU rRNA". It matches the Rfam family "Bacterial small subunit ribosomal RNA", at positions 56 to 903 of the family's 1533-position model. The record is from RNAcentral.
UGCAGUCGAGGGGUAUAGAGUGCUUGCACUUUAGAGACCGGCGCACGGGUGCGUAACGCGUAUGCAAUCUACCUUGUACAGGGGGAUAGCCCAGAGAAAUUUGGAUUAAUACCCCAUAGUAUUAUGAAUCGGCAUCGGUUUAUGAUUAAAGUUCCAACGGUACAAGAUGAGCAUGCGUCCCAUUAGUUAGUUGGUGUGGUAACGGCACACCAAGACUAUGAUGGGUAGGGGUCUUGAGAGGGAGAUCCCCCACACUGGUACUGAGACACGGACCAGACUCCUACGGGAGGCAGCAGUGAGGAAUAUUGGGCAAUGGACGCAAGUCUGACCCAGCCAUGCCGCGUGCAGGAAGACGGUCCUAUGGAUUGUAAACUGCUUUUAUACAGGAAGAAACCUCCCUACGUGUAGGGACUUGACGGUACUGUAGGAAUAAGGAUCGGCUAACUCCGUGCCAGCAGCCGCGGUAAUACGGAGGAUCCAAGCGUUAUCCGGAAUCAUUGGGUUUAAAGGGUCCGUAGGCGGCCUUAUAAGUCAGUGGUGAAAUCUCCUAGCUCAACUAGGAAACUGCCAUUGAUACUGUAGGGCUUGAAUUAUUGUGAAGUAACUAGAAUAUGUAGUGUAGCGGUGAAAUGCUUAGAUAUUACAUGGAAUACCAAUUGCGAAGGCAGGUUACUAACAAUAUAUUGACGCUGAUGGACGAAAGCGUGGGGGAGCGAACAGGAUUAGAUACCCUGGUAGUCCACGCCGUAAACGAUGGAUACUAGCUGUUGGGCGCAAGCUCAGUGGCUAAGCGAAAGUGAUAAGUAUUCCACCUGGGGAGUACGAUCGCAAGAUUGAAACUCA